This 268-nucleotide long non-coding RNA is filed under the name Capsicum annuum. RNAcentral's name for it is "long non-coding RNA (CANN_LNC012432)". Lineage: Eukaryota; Viridiplantae; Streptophyta; Magnoliopsida; Solanales; Solanaceae. The record is from RNAcentral.
AUGAAAUGACAUAUAUAUACCCCUCAUACUAACAGUAGGGGCAUAUGUGUAUCAAAAAUAUGACAGAGGGCAUAUACGUAUCAUUUAUCAUAGUUCGGGGGUAUAUUUAUCCCCUUUUUAAUUCAAACAUUUUCAUUCAAAAUAAUUAAUCCAAACCCAUUAAUCGGCCAAAUAAAUCAAUUACCUGACCUGAUUUCAAUUAAAAUCUAAGAAUCGCCUAUCUAACAGAUGUAUUUUUCUCACCCAUAUAAUGAUAUACACACACCAU